Molecule: ribosomal RNA, 473 nt
Filed under: uncultured bacterium
Lineage: Bacteria
Description: bacterial SSU rRNA
Rfam family: Bacterial small subunit ribosomal RNA
Source: RNAcentral
UAGGACGAACGCUGGCGGCGUGCUUCAUACAUGCAAGUCGAACGAUAAGGUCUCUUCGGAGAUACAUAAGUGGCGGACGGGUGAGUAAUAUGUAGAGAAUCUGCCCUAGAGUGAGGGACAACAGAGGGAAACUUCUGCUAAUACCUCAUAUGCGCGUAGCUGAGAUGCUAUUCGUGAAAACUCCGGUGCUCUAGGAUGAGUCUGCAUCUGAUUAGCUAGUUGGGGGUGUAAUGGACCACCAAGGCGACGAUCAGUAGCUGGUUUGAGAGGAUGAUCAGCCACAAUGGGACUGAGACACGGUCCAUACUCCUACGGGAGGCAGCAGUAGGGAAUUUUGCGCAAGUGGGGGAAACCCUGACGCAGCAACGCCGCGUGAUUGAAUAAGCCCUUCGGGGUGUAAAGAUCUGUCAGUGGGGACGAAACUUGACGGUACCCACAGAGGAAGCAUCGGCUAACUCCGUGCCAGCCGCCGC